Molecule: ribosomal RNA, 795 nt
Filed under: uncultured bacterium
Lineage: Bacteria
Description: bacterial SSU rRNA
Rfam family: Bacterial small subunit ribosomal RNA
Source: RNAcentral
AGAGUUUGAUCAUGGCUCAGGAUGAACGCUAGCGGCAGGCUUAAUACAUGCAAGUCGAGGGGCAGCACGGGUAGCAAUACCUGGUGGCGACCGGCAAACGGGUGCGGAACACGUACACAACCUUCCCUUGAGGCGGGGGAUAGCCCAGAGAAAUUUGGAUUAAUACCCCAUAAGAUAUUGUCCCGGCAUCGGGAAGAUAUUAAAGAUUUAUCACCUUAGGAUGGGUGUGCGUAUGAUUAGGUAGUUGGUGCGGGUAACGGCCCACCAAGCCAUCGAUCAUUAACUGGUGUGAGAGCACGACCAGUCACACGGGCACUGAGACACGGGCCCGACUCCUACGGGAGGCAGCAGUAAGGAAUAUUGGUCAAUGGACGAAAGUCUGAACCAGCCAUGCCGCGUGAAGGAUGACGGCCCUCUGGGUUGUAGACUUCUUUUAUCUGGGACGAAAAAGGGCCAUUCUUGGUCAACUGACGGUACCAGAGGAAUAAGCACCGGCUAACUCCGUGCCAGCAGCCGCGGUAAUACGGAGGGUGCAAGCGUUAUCCGGAUUUACUGGGUUUAAAGGGAGCGCAGGCGGAUUGGUAAGUCAGUGGUGAAAUACCCGUGCUUAACAUGGGAACUGCCAUUGAUACUAUCAGUCUUGAAUGUUGUUGAGGUUUGCGGAAUGGGUCAUGUAGCGGUGAAAUGCAUAGAUAUGACCCGGAACACCUAUUGCGAAGGCAGCAGGCUAAACAAAUAUUGACGCUGAGGCUCGAAAGCGUGGGGAUCAAACAGGAUUAGAUACCCUAGUAGUCC